UUCCCGUUAAGAGAUUUAACUACCGAAGCCUCACACAGCGACUCUAAAUCAACUGUGGAGUCUUACCAUAGGUAAAGACAAUACCGCUGAAAUGCUGUGAUCACGAAAGUGUACCAGCAGCCUAAUCCAGGCCCACAGAUCAAGUGGCGGUGGUCUUAGCUACACAGCUUUAGACUAUAAUAUGACCGGUUCUUAUCCUAACGGUUAAGAGCUUUAACGUUCCGUAGGUGAACCUGCGGAAGGAUCAUUAAAGAGUUAGGGUCUUCUAGGCUCGAUCUCCCACCCUUUGUAUAAAUACCAUGUUGCUUUGGCGGGCCCGUCUUUAACCGGACCGCCGGAGGUCAAAGCCUCUGGCCAGCGCCCGUCAGUAGCCCACAACAAAUUCUUUUAACCAUGUAUCUUCUGAAAAUAGUCAAAUAAACCAAAACUUUCAACAACGGAUCUCUUGGUUCCG
Molecule: unclassified non-coding RNA, 454 nt
Filed under: rhizosphere metagenome
Description: partial ribosomal RNA internal transcribed spacer region
Source: RNAcentral